UUGAAAAUUUGAGAUACACGCCUAUUCCCUAAAUUUCAAACACACACCUAUCCCACGCGGGCCACGCCUGUAUCCCUAUUAUUUGAAACACACGCAUUUUCCCUUUACAUUUCUUUUUCUCUCUCAUUUCAUUAACCUAAAUUUGAAACACACACCUAUUUGUUUCCGCCGCCCCGCCCCCCACACACCAGACCACUAUCGCCGCCCUCACGGCUCACACGCUGCCAGCUCCAGCCAGCCUUCUCUGCCGCCGCCGCCCACACCCUACUGACGUCGUUGGAUCCUCAGCCUUCUCCGCUGCGGGCUGCCCGUCGCCACUCGCCAGCAACUAACGUCGCUCGUCUCCAGUCGCCAGCACCCCGCCACGGCGUCGCCUCUCCUCCAACUGUCGUCUGCUGCUGCCGUAUACUAGCAGGAGCAAGAAGAACCUUUCCAUGUGAUGUUGAAGUCCACUUAGUUUACAAGCUUGGUGGAAGAUUGGAUGUUUGACAUUGUUUUAUUGAAGUGUUGUUUUGAUGAAUUUGAAACCUAUCUUUAUUUUAUGUAUUGCAAACUUUUGAAUGUUAUGAUGUGUAUUGAGAAUUUAAAUGGUGGAAUCAUCAAAUGAGCUUUUUU
Long non-coding RNA from Salvia miltiorrhiza (redroot sage), 615 nucleotides. RefSeq lists it as uncharacterized. NCBI's taxonomy places the organism in Eukaryota, Viridiplantae, Streptophyta, Magnoliopsida, Lamiales, Lamiaceae. The transcript has 2 exons. The record is from RefSeq and is a predicted model, not a curated record.